UACGUAGGUGGCAAGCGUUGUCCGGAUUUAUUGGGUUUAAAGGGUGCGUAGGCGGCCUAUUAAGUCAGUGCUGAAAUACUUCGGCUUAACCGGAGAGGUGGCAUUGAUACUGAUGGGCUUGAGUACAGAUGAGGUAGGCGGAAUUGACGGUGUAGCGGUGAAAAUGCUUAGAUAUCGUCAAGAAACACCUAUAGCGAAGGCAGCUUACUAGGCUGUAAACUACGCUGAGGCACGAAAAGUGUGGGGGAUCAAA
This 253-nucleotide ribosomal RNA is filed under the name uncultured bacterium. RNAcentral describes it as "partial 16S ribosomal RNA". It matches the Rfam family "Bacterial small subunit ribosomal RNA", at positions 524 to 772 of the family's 1533-position model. The record is from RNAcentral.